GGCAGGUUGCCCGAGCGGCCAAUGGGAGCGGACUGUAAAUCCGUCGCGAAAGCUACCAAGGUUCGAAUCCUUGACCUGCCACCA
This 84-nucleotide transfer RNA is filed under the name Austwickia sp. RNAcentral describes it as "tRNA-Tyr". It matches the Rfam family "tRNA". From Rfam's summary of the family: Transfer RNA (tRNA) molecules are approximately 80 nucleotides in length. Their secondary structure includes four short double-helical elements and three loops (D, anti-codon, and T loops). Further hydrogen bonds mediate the characteristic L-shaped molecular structure. tRNAs have two regions of fundamental functional importance: the anti-codon, which is responsible for specific mRNA codon recognition, and the 3' end, to which the tRNAs corresponding amino acid is attached (by aminoacyl-tRNA synthetases). tRNAs cope with the degeneracy of the genetic code in two manners: having more than one tRNA (with a specific anti-codon) for a particular amino acid; and 'wobble' base-pairing, i.e. permitting non-standard base-pairing at the 3rd anti-codon position. The record is from RNAcentral. Lineage: Bacteria; Bacillati; Actinomycetota; Actinomycetes; Micrococcales; Dermatophilaceae. RNAcentral also lists the same sequence under 1 other name.